Anolis carolinensis (green anole) is the source of this 462-nucleotide long non-coding RNA. RefSeq lists it as uncharacterized. The transcript has 2 exons. The record is from RefSeq and is a predicted model, not a curated record. Lineage: Eukaryota; Metazoa; Chordata; Lepidosauria; Squamata; Anolidae.
CGGCUUUGGCGCCCAGAGACACGGGUCGGGGCUUCGGAUAAGAGCUGGAGCCUCCUCUGGCAAAGAGGGCUGGUGAUGCCCGCCCAAAGCCACGCCUCAGGGCGACGCGGCACAGGCAGCCCACAAGUUAUCCACAGGACAGAAUCUCGACCAAUUCACCAUUUGUGGCAGCCACAAAAACGAAGUUUCUGGAGUAUAAUAACUACUUUCAAAGUAAGUACCAUACAAUUAAACAGGAAAUAACACUUUCAAACCAGAACCAUAUUUUUUUUUCAAAUGUUUUGGCAUGGAAUGCUUGCCGUAUAUAUGUUGUGCUCUGCCCUGAGUCCCCUUCAGGGUGAGAAGGGCGGAAUAUAAAUGUUAUAAAUAAAUAAUAUAUAAUAUAUAAAUGAAAGGUUUUCAUGAGAUAUGUCAUGUCUCUGUACAUUCCAUUAUUACAAUUAUUAAAAGGUGUUGGUUUAA